GGAAUCUUCGGCAAUGGGGGCAACCCUGACCGAGCAACGCCGCGUGAGUGAAGAAGGUUUUCGGAUCGUAAAACUCUGUUGUAAGAGAAGAACGUGUGUGAGAGUGGAAAGUUCACACAGUGACGGUAACUUACCAGAAAGGGACGGCUAACUACGUGCCAG
Molecule: ribosomal RNA, 162 nt
Filed under: uncultured bacterium
Lineage: Bacteria
Description: partial 16S rRNA
Rfam family: Bacterial small subunit ribosomal RNA
Source: RNAcentral